CAGCCAUAGAGCAGCUGAAACCUGGAGUCGUAGAGCCAGCUUUGGUUGACAAGAAGCAGGUGUGAUAAUUAGUGAAGGGAUCAGAAACCAAAACCAAUUGAAAAAGUAACAAACAAGCGUACAAUCAAAGGGCUGUGGAAGCAGUAACCAUGCAAUCUGAAGUCCCAUGGAACAGCUCCAUGUGUUUGGAAUACAAAAGUUUGAAAGCUCUGGAAAUUCGCUGAGUUACAGAAUGGAUCAAAAACCACAAACUGCAGAGUGACUACAAAAAAGGUGAAGGAAAGCUCUGAAGAUGUGCCCUGAAUACGUUUGUCCAGCUGUUGGAUUUGAGUAACAAAGUUUAGAAACCCAGCAUGAUUCCCCCAGCUGUCCUGCGUACACUGAUAUGGAUUGGUGGCAGUGAAAAGGCUUUAUCACUCCUGCUUCCCUUCCUGCCCCAUCAUCAAUUUUCCCUGCAUGGGUAUAGUCCUGAGUGACACCUGGUGAGUUGCUUUCUCCUAUCGCCUCCUCCCUUGGCACUGUAAAUACAUCCACAGCGUAGGAGCCAGUUGUGCCUGUCCUCGUGAUGUAAUUUUAAACCUGUGUGCUGGUGGUCUAAUGUACCAAUAACCUUCCUCUGCACAUUGCUGCGUAGCCGUUCUCUGUGGCUGUGUAGAUAGCCUUUUCUUAUCUUAAACUGUGAAUUAGAGCAGUGAUGUCUCUGGAAUAUCUGCAAACAUAUGGGGUCAACUCACCAAGUUAAAUGAAAGUGAGAAAAUGUUUAUAAUCCCUUCUGGGCACCCUAUUUCAUUAUCUAUGUAAAUGUAUAUCUUCAAGGGACGUGAGCUGGACCUCACACCUAGACACUGUUUGGAAGAAAGCCCAGCAGAGACUGUCCCUCCUGCGGCAACUAAAGGAGUACAAACUCCUACAGCAGCUGCUGGUCAACUUCUGCACUGCCAUCAAUCAGUCUGCUUGUGCACAUCCAUCACUGUGGGUUUUGGCUCAUCCUCAAAACAUGGACAGAUCCAAACGGUCUGCAGAGAGCAUCAGAGGGGGCUAACCUAUCCAGGACUCGUAGAGGUCUCGGGUCAGGAAAAAGGCUAGCUAACAUCUCUGCAGACCCCACAUAUUCUGGACGUAAACUAUUUAAACUUUUCCCUUCAGAUUGGAGCUACAGAGCACAGUGUAAAGAAACAACUAAACAAAAAAAACAGCUGCCUAAGAAAGGGUUGCUUCCCACAAACUGUGAGUCUGGUGAUCACCUAACAGAGUGGCAAGAACGAUGACCAUGCAUUUGUUUUUGCAUCGAUCCAACAAUAAUAUGCUUUUAUUUGCCCUUUUUAUUAUUAUAUUAUUUCUUUAUUUAAAAUAUUUUAAAAAAAAUUGUGAAGCCAAGCAUGGUGAUUUAACCUGACAUUGAAAGCUUGUGUUAUGAUUGACGUUUAAUUCAUUUAUGUUGGGUCCUAAAAAAAGAAGAAAAAAAUAAAAAUCUCUUUUAGGAUUGGAUAUUUCGUCGUAAACAUUGUUGAUGUUUUUCUUCUGCCAUGUCUCAUUUUAAUGUGUCAGAUCAAAGUCCAGACUUUGGCCAAGCAACUCCUAAGCCUUCAUUUGUUUCUUCAUUUUUAUUUUACUAAUUUAGAGAUUGACUUGCUGGUGCUUUGGAUCAAUGUCCUGCUGCGUAACUCAAGUGUACUUGAACAUGUUUUCUGUUAAAGAGCAGAAUUCAUGGCUCUGCCAAUCACAGAGAUUUCCCCUGGUCCUAAAGCAGCCUGAACCAUCAAACCACCAUCACCAUCUUGGACUUUUUCUUAUUCUAAAAUGCGAUUAGUUUUAUUUGUGUUGUAACAAAACACACACCUUCUUAAAAGUUCCAUUCAUUUCUUUUUAGUCAGCAAUAUAUUUUCAAAGAAGUCGUGGGGAUCAUCAAGCUGCUGUUUUGGCAAAUGUGAGGCGGGCAUUUGUGUUCCUUUUUUCUCUGUGUUAGUUUUGGCCUUGAAACUCUCCCAUUGACCCAGGACGAGGGGAUAAUCUGUCUUGUUGCACUGCCAGUGUAACAAGAGCAAGUGGAAAAUUUGCUUAAUGCCUUUCCUUAGCACUGUAUAUGGACUGAACUGAAGUAUUAUUCAAUAAAUACAGAUUUAUUCUGAAUGUUUAUGAUUUGUUUAACCUUUGCACCUUUUGAAAAAUAAAUAAAU
This is a long non-coding RNA of Fundulus heteroclitus (mummichog), 2177 nucleotides long. RefSeq lists it as uncharacterized. The record is from RefSeq and is a predicted model, not a curated record. The transcript has 3 exons. NCBI's taxonomy places the organism in Eukaryota, Metazoa, Chordata, Actinopteri, Cyprinodontiformes, Fundulidae.